AGAGCGAACGCUGGCGGCAGGCCUAACACAUGCAAGUCGAGCGCCCGUAGCAAUACGGGAGCGGCAGACGGGAUAGUAACACGUGGGAACGCGCCCUUCGGUUCGGAAUAACUCAGGGAAACUUGAGCUAAUACCGGAUACGCCCUUACGGGGAAAGAUUUAUUGCCGAAGGAACGGCCCGCGUCCGAUUAGCUAGUUGGUGAGGUAAUGGCUCACCAAGGCGACGAUCGGUAGCUGGUCUGAGAGGAUGACCAGCAUCACUGGGACUGAGACACGGCCCAGACUCCUACGGGAGGCAGCAGUGGGAAUAUGGACAAUGGGCGCAAGCCUGAUCCAGCCAUGCCGCGUGGAUGAUGAAGGCCUUAGGGUUGUAAAGUCCUUUAAGGGAAGAUAAUGACGGUACCCGUAGAAUAAGCCCGGCUAACUUCGCGCCAGCAGCCGC
Molecule: ribosomal RNA, 442 nt
Filed under: uncultured bacterium
Lineage: Bacteria
Description: SSU rRNA
Rfam family: Bacterial small subunit ribosomal RNA
Source: RNAcentral